GAUGAACGCUGGCGGCGUGCCUAAUACAUGCAAGUCGAGCGAACAGACGAGGAGCUUGCUCCUCUGACGUUAGCGGCGGACGGGUGAGUAACACGUGGAUAACCUACCUAUCAGACUGGGAUAACUUCGGGAAACCGGAGCUAAUACCGGAUAAUAUAUUGAACCGCAUGGUUCAAUAGUGAAAGACGGUUUUGCUGUCACUUAUAGAUGGUUCCGCGCCGCAUUAGCUAGUUGGUACGGUAACGGCUUACCAAGGCAACGAUGCGUAGCCGACCUGAGAGGGUGAUCGGCCACACGGGAACUGAGACACGGUCCAGACUCCUACGGGAGGCAGCAGUAGGGAAUCUUCCGCAAUGGGCGAAAGCUUGACGGAGCAACGCCGCGUGAGUGAUGAAGGUCUUCGGAUCGUAAAACUCUGUUAUUAGGGAAGAACAAAUGUGUAAGUAACUAUGCACGUCUUGACGGUACCUAAUCAGAAAGCCACGGCUAACUACGUG
This 497-nucleotide ribosomal RNA is filed under the name uncultured bacterium. Its description in RNAcentral is "partial 16S ribosomal RNA". It matches the Rfam family "Bacterial small subunit ribosomal RNA", at positions 28 to 507 of the family's 1533-position model. The record is from RNAcentral.